RNAcentral lists this ribosomal RNA (1462 nucleotides) under uncultured Bordetella sp. RNAcentral's name for it is "partial 16S-23S ribosomal RNA intergenic spacer". It matches the Rfam family "Bacterial small subunit ribosomal RNA". Lineage: Bacteria; Pseudomonadati; Pseudomonadota; Betaproteobacteria; Burkholderiales; Alcaligenaceae. The record is from RNAcentral.
UUCGAUUAUGGCUCAGAUUGAACGCUGGCGGGAUGCUUUACAUGCAAGUCGAACGGCAGCACAGACUUCGGUCUGGUGGCGAGUGGCGAACGGGUGAGUAAUGUAUGGAACGCGUACCCUAGUAGCGGGGGAUAACUACGCGAAAAUAGCUAAUACCACCCAUACGCCCUUCGGGGGAAAGCGGGGACCUUCGGGCCUCACGCAUAUUAAACAGCCGAUAUCGGAUUAGCUAGUUGGUGGGGUAACGGCUCGCAAGGCGGCCGAUCCGUAGCUGGUUUUGAGAGGACGACCAGCCACACUGGGUUCAGACACGGCCCAGACUCCUACGGGGAGGCAGCAGUGAAAUUUUGGACAAUGGGAAACUGGUCAGCCAUCCCGCGUGUGCGAUGAAGGCCUUCGGGUUAUCUAAGCACUUUUGGCAGGAAAAACGGCACAGAUAAUACCCGUGCAACUGGGCGUACCUGCAGAAUGGCACAACUAACUACGUGCCAGCAACCCCACCCGGUAGCCGUAGAGUGCAAGCGUUAAUCUGAGAUUACUGGGCGUAAAGCGUGCGCAGGCGGUUCGGAAAGAUCUUGAAAUCUGACUUAACUUUGGAACUGCAUUUUUAUGCAAGAGCUCGAGUGUGUCAGGGAGGUGGAGAUUCCGCGUGUAGCAGUGAAAUGCGUAGAUAUGCUGGAAGGAACCACCGAUAUGAAGGCAGCCUCACGGGGAUAACACUGACGCUCAUACGGCAGUAAGGAGCGAAACAGGAUCGACCCUGGUAGUCCGCGCCUAAACGAUGUCAACUAGCUGUUCAGGGCCUUCGAGCCUUGGUAGCGCAGCUAACGCGUGAAGCUGACCGCCUGGGGAGUACCCGGUCAUGGUUAAACUCAAAGGGUGGCGAGACCGCACGGCGGUGGAUGAUGGGUCAGAAAUUCGAUGCACGCCGCGAAAAACCUUACCUACCCCUUGACAUGUCUGGAAUCCCGAAGAGAUUUGGGAGUGCUCGCAAGAGAACCGGAACACAGGUGCUGCAUGGCUGCUCGUCAGCUCGUGUCGUGAGAUGUUGGGUUAAGUCCUGUCGGCGCAACCCUUGUCAUUGGAGUUAUACGAAGGGCACUCUAAUGGAGCUGCCGGUAACAAACCGGAAGGUGGGGGAUGACGUCAAAGUCCUCAUGGCCCUUAUGGGCGGAGCUUCACACGUCAUACAAUGGUCGGGGACGGUCGCGCCAACCCGCGAAGGGUGCCAAUCCCAGAAACCCGAUCGUAGUCGGAUCGCAGUCUGCAACUCGACUGCGUGAAGUCGAAUCGCUUGGCAAUCGUAGCGGAUCAGCAUGUCAUGGUGAAUACGUUCCCGGUCUUGUACACUACGCCGUCACACCAUGGGAGUGGAUUUUUUACCAGAAGUAGUUAGCCUAACCGUAAGGAGGGCGAUUACCACGGUAGGAUUCAUGACUGGGGUGAAGUCGUAACUGAGUAA